GCGCACGCUGGCGGCAGGCCUAACCCAUGCAAGUCGCACGAACUCUUCGGAGUUAGUGGCGGACGGGUGAGUAACACGUGGGAACGUGCCUUUUGGUUCGGAAUAACUCAGGGAAACUUGUGCUAAUACCGAAUGUGCCCUUCGGGGGAAAGAUUUAUCGCCAUUAGAGCGGCCCGCGUCUGAUUAGCUAGUUGGUGAGGUAACGGCUCACCAAGGCGACGAUCAGUAGCUGGUCUGAGAGGAUGACCAGCCACACUGGGACUGAGACACGGCCCAGACUCCUACGGGAGGCAGCAGUGGGGAAUCUUGCGCAAUGGGCGAAAGCCUGACGCAGCCAUGCCGCGUGAAUGAUGAAGGUCUUAGGAUUGUAAAAUUCUUUCACCGGGGACGAUAAUGACGGUACCCGGAGAAGAAGCCCCGGCUAACUUCGUG
Molecule: ribosomal RNA, 432 nt
Filed under: uncultured bacterium
Lineage: Bacteria
Description: partial 16S ribosomal RNA
Rfam family: Bacterial small subunit ribosomal RNA
Source: RNAcentral